GAUGAACGCUGGCGGCGUGCCUAAUACAUGCAAGUCGAGCGAACAGACGAGGAGCUUGCUCCUCUGACGUUAGCGGCGGACAGGUGAGUAACACGUGGAUAACCUACCUAUAAGACUGGGAUAACUUCGGGAAACCGGAGCUAAUACCGGAUAAUAUAUUGAACCGCAUGGUUCAAUAGUGAAAGACGGUUUUGCUGUCACUUAUAGAUGGAUCCGCGCCGCAUUAGCUAGUUGGUAAGGUAACGGCUUACCCAGGCAACGAUGCGUAGCCGACCUGAGAGGGUGAUCGGCCACACUGGAACUGAGACACGGUCCAGACUCCUACGGGAGGCAGCAGUAGGGAAUCUUCCGCAAUGGGCGAAAGCCUGACGGAGCAACGCCGCGUGAGUGAUGAAGGUCUUCGGAUCGUAAAACUCUGUUAUUAGGGAAGAACAAAUGUGUAAGUAACUAUGCACGUCUUGACGGUACCUAAUCAGAAAGCCACGGCUAACUACGUG
RNAcentral lists this ribosomal RNA (497 nucleotides) under uncultured bacterium. RNAcentral describes it as "partial 16S ribosomal RNA". It matches the Rfam family "Bacterial small subunit ribosomal RNA", at positions 28 to 507 of the family's 1533-position model. The record is from RNAcentral.